GUGAAUCAUCGAAUCUUUGAACGCAAAUUGCACUCUCCGGUUUUCCGGGAGAGUAUGCCUGUUUGAGGGUCAGCCUAAAUAAAUUCGGCUUCGUUGCUGUGUUUCGCGGUAACGUUUUGUCGGAAUUUGGGUCAUCUUAAGCCGAAAGGUUUUUAAGCGACUUAAAAUUUUUUUACGAUCCCACGAACGUUUCUAAGAUCUUCUUACACGUUCAAGGUAUCGAAUAACCCUAUUAGACGUGGCCGUCGUAUCGGAUCGCGUCCAUAAUAUUUAUUCUUUAUUAACUGACCUCAGACAGGU
This 300-nucleotide unclassified non-coding RNA is filed under the name uncultured Glomus. Its description in RNAcentral is "sequence contains 5.8S rRNA gene, ITS2". The stretch from base 1 to 72 matches the Rfam family "5.8S ribosomal RNA", at positions 84 to 154 of the family's 154-position model. Lineage: Eukaryota; Fungi; Glomeromycota; Glomeromycetes; Glomerales; Glomeraceae. The record is from RNAcentral.